GGAAGUAUGGGAGAGUGGUUUAUUCCAGCAGUCUUGAAAACUGCCGACUGUAAUAGGUCCGUGGGUUCGAAUCCCACCGCUUCCGCCA
Molecule: transfer RNA, 88 nt
Filed under: compost metagenome
Description: tRNA-Ser
Rfam family: tRNA
About the family: Transfer RNA (tRNA) molecules are approximately 80 nucleotides in length. Their secondary structure includes four short double-helical elements and three loops (D, anti-codon, and T loops).
Source: RNAcentral